Molecule: ribosomal RNA, 215 nt
Filed under: uncultured bacterium
Lineage: Bacteria
Description: partial 16S ribosomal RNA
Rfam family: Bacterial small subunit ribosomal RNA
Source: RNAcentral
AUAAGCAACGUGCCCUGAAGACUGGGAUAGUCAGAGGAAACUCUGGGUAAUACCGGAUGUGGCCGUUUCGAGACAUCUCGAGACGAUUAAAUGGUUUUUCGCUUCAGGAGCGGCUUAUGGCCUAUCAGGUAGUUGGUGGGGUAACGGCCUACCAAGCCGACGACGGGUAGCGGGUCUGAGAGGAUGAUCCGCUCGAGUGGGACUGAGACACGGCC